GACGCAUUUGACUUCUGGUGAGGUCCCCGGUCUUUCACGCCGGUCAGGUCGGGUUCGAAUCCCACAUGCGUCA
RNAcentral lists this transfer RNA (73 nucleotides) under Planctomycetaceae bacterium. Its description in RNAcentral is "tRNA-Glu". It matches the Rfam family "tRNA". From Rfam's summary of the family: Transfer RNA (tRNA) molecules are approximately 80 nucleotides in length. Their secondary structure includes four short double-helical elements and three loops (D, anti-codon, and T loops). Further hydrogen bonds mediate the characteristic L-shaped molecular structure. tRNAs have two regions of fundamental functional importance: the anti-codon, which is responsible for specific mRNA codon recognition, and the 3' end, to which the tRNAs corresponding amino acid is attached (by aminoacyl-tRNA synthetases). tRNAs cope with the degeneracy of the genetic code in two manners: having more than one tRNA (with a specific anti-codon) for a particular amino acid; and 'wobble' base-pairing, i.e. permitting non-standard base-pairing at the 3rd anti-codon position. The record is from RNAcentral. Lineage: Bacteria; Pseudomonadati; Planctomycetota; Planctomycetia; Planctomycetales; Planctomycetaceae.